GAUGAGCGCUAGCGGGAGGCUUAACACAUACAAGUCGAGGGGUAAAUGGUAGCAAUACUAUGAGACCGGCGGACGGGUGCGUAACGCGUAUGCAACAUACCUUGUGCAGGGGGAUAGCCCGUGGAAACGCGGAUUAAUAUUCCAUAGUCCAGCUGUAUCGCAUGGUAUAGUUGGUAAAGAUUUAUCGGCACAAGUUUGGCAUGCGUCUGAUUAGCUUGUUGGUAGGGUAACGGCCUACCAAGGCUACGAUCAGUAGGGGUUCUGAGAGGAUUAACCCCCACACUGGUACUGAGACACGGCCCAGACUCCUACGGGAGGCAGCAGUAGGGAAUUUUCGGCAAUGGGGGAAACCCUGACCGAGCAAUGCCGCGUGAAUGAAGAAGGUCUUCGGACUGUAAAAUUCUGUUAUUUGUGGAAGAAAGGUAGUUGGAGGAAAUGCCAAUUACUUGACGGUACCAAAUGAGAAAGCCCCGGCUAACUAUGUG
This 485-nucleotide ribosomal RNA is filed under the name uncultured bacterium. Its description in RNAcentral is "bacterial SSU rRNA". It matches the Rfam family "Bacterial small subunit ribosomal RNA", at positions 28 to 507 of the family's 1533-position model. The record is from RNAcentral.